Molecule: long non-coding RNA, 635 nt
Filed under: Pan troglodytes (chimpanzee)
Lineage: Eukaryota; Metazoa; Chordata; Mammalia; Primates; Hominidae
Description: long non-coding RNA NONPTRT013540
Source: RNAcentral
UGAAUGGUAAACUUAAGGUAGAAAGUGGUCAGAUUUAUAAAAACCCAGUCACCUGGCUCAAGGAUCUUCUGGGAGGCAACAGUUAUGUGACCUGGAAUUAUGCUUGGAGUAAGGUAACGUAUCUUGGGAAGGAGCUUUUAAAGUAUGUUUCUGAGGAUGUACCCAUACGUCCAGAACCAAACUCAGUACCUCAGCAAUAUCAACCUUGUCUUCCAGAAGUUGCUUGUUUAGAUGACCCAGUACAGGAACCAAACAAAUCAAUGUUUGAGAAAACAAAAUUUGGACAAGGAACUUCCAGAGAGUCAAUGCAAAGCAUCCCACGUUAUCUACAAAUAAAUGAAAUACUAUUAAUCAGUGAUCAAGAAUUUCUCCCAUGCCACAUAAUGGAUCAGCAUUGGAAGUUUUGUGUGGAAUGUGAGGAACUGACACCCUAAAACCUUGGUUUCUUAAUAUUUUAUUGGAUAUUUGUUCAAAUUAUCAACAAACAUUUAUAUUUCAUCUUGUAUAAUCUGGUGGGCCUAUUUUAACAUACACUUUAUGAGUUGCUAUUUAGGAUGUAUGUUUACUGUUCUUAAGAUGUAUGUAACUGUUCAACAAUUAUAUAAGAUUAAUGCUUUUUUGCCAUUGAAGUAAAG